RNAcentral lists this long non-coding RNA (1635 nucleotides) under Nicotiana tabacum (common tobacco). Its description in RNAcentral is "long non-coding RNA (NTAB_LNC018708)". The record is from RNAcentral. Lineage: Eukaryota; Viridiplantae; Streptophyta; Magnoliopsida; Solanales; Solanaceae.
UGCCAAAGAACCAUCCUAUUCUAAAUCAGUAAGAUAGUUAUUAUUUUUUUACAGUUAUUACAUUCUUAUUCAAUUGGUUCAUCCUUUGAAGAAAGAUUGAAGGAGCAAUAACAAGGCCUGCAUCGAGGAAGGAAAACUACCUCAAUUAGCUUUGCGGGACUCCUAAGACAAAGGGGGAGAGUGUGCAUACCAGUAAUAUAAGCAAUGAACAGGUCUUCAAUAUCAGUGCUCUCCCUUCUCCUUUACCUAGCAGUAUAUUUAAAAUUUUGAAUUAUUUACUUGUCGUUUUCUUCUUUCUCCCUAGUAAGAUUUAAUGAUUUUUUGUGUAGCUGUUGUUAACCUAAACACAAGGAGGAGAGCCACUUCCUAGUCAUGCUCAAUUUCUCAUUACAGACUGAGCUACUGGAUUAAGUAACAUAAUUUGUAACCUUGAAGAAAAACACACAUGAAGACAAACUGAAACUCAAUUUCAUUUUGCAUAACUAUUAUGUGCAAGUUGUCAUUCAAGGUAUUACAUCUUGUGGAGAAAGCCUUCACUCUAUUGAAAACUAAAUUUCAGUACAUAAGCAGAAUAGCAAGAAGUACCCAUUAUCCAAGCCCAUAGCCACAUCUAACGAAAAUAAAGUAAGUAGCUUAGAGAGAGAAUGAAAUCAGACUAUUAAUAUUUUAUCACAUAUAAAUUAUCUUGGAUUGGUAAAUUUUAUAUCCAUAUUCUCAGCUAUAAUUCUCUAAUCAAUCUAAUCAUAUAGGAAAAACAAUCACUAAAAAAUAAGAACUCACUCCCCCUCAUUUUUUUCCCUUUGCUCACAGGAAAUAACAAAAACAAGACAUCUACAUUUUAAUAUGCAAAAACAGGAACCUCAUCCAGAAAAUCCGCAUAAAGCAGGGAAGCAAGAGCAGAAGAGAACUUAAUAUACCAUUAUUUAUGAUCCUGUAUAAUCAUCUUUGUGAAAAAUUAAGUAGAAAAAGAGAUGCAUGGCAAGCCAGAAUGAGCGGUCAAUUGCAUAUCAGUUGUUGAUCGCCAGAAGCGACUAAACCUGUCGACAUCAAAGAAUACCAUCGAGAUAUAGGAAAUUUAACCAAAGGUUUUGAUAACCAAGAGAAUAAAUAAAUAUAGGUGUUAGAGUUCAUUUAUUACCUCUAAACAUGAGACACCAAUCAGAUGAGUAGAGCAAGCAGUUUCUAUGCAGUCCUUACCCGGUCAGUCCCCCUAAAUUUACAAGUAACACUACGUGCAUUUGGAGAAAGAUCAAACUUCAAUAUUAAUGGUAAUCAACAACAUAAUUCUAUAACUCUUGUUUAAGUACAAAUAAAGUUGAUCUGUAGCAGCAUAACAUUAAAAAAAAAUUUAAACUUACAUACCAAUACAUAUCUAGCCUGUUAAUACAAAGAGGAAGGACAUGUAUAUAAAGACGCCAUUAUAAGGGCAGAAAAUAAAUAUGCAGCAAGAAAUGAAGAUCAAAGAACCAAAUAAUAUCUCAAAUUCACAAUUUUAACGAAAAAUGAAGAAAACUUUAGUACCUAAAACCAACCAAAACAGAAGUAGCAGUGUGCAAAUAUGAAAAGAAGAAUUUAACCAACCUGUCGAAAUGCUUGAAGACAUACAGGAGGGGUACACCUUCUUUUAAAGAAUCU